This 335-nucleotide ribosomal RNA is filed under the name Macrothele yani. Its description in RNAcentral is "partial small subunit ribosomal RNA". The record is from RNAcentral. Lineage: Eukaryota; Metazoa; Arthropoda; Arachnida; Araneae; Macrothelidae.
UGUUAUUCUUUAUAAUAGAAGGUAAUAUCUCUAAGAAAAACCUUUGUCCUUUGGCGGCCCUCCUCCUUUUCAGAGGAACUUGUUAUUUAAUCGAUAAUCCGCGUUUACUUUCACUUUUUUUCAGUUUUUAUACCGCCGUCUAAAGAUAACAAUUUAAGUUUUUUUCUUUAAAACUAAAGUAUCCAAGUCAGGUCAAGGUGAAGCUAACAAAAAAGAAUUAAAUGAGUUACUUAUUUUUCAUAAUAAUGAAUUAUGAGCAAAAGCUUAAAUGAAAUAGGAUUUGAUAGUAAUAUUAUUUUAAAAUGAUAGUAUGAAUUAGCAAAGAUGGUGUACAC